GUGUAAGUUAUUAAGGGCACACGGUGGAUGCCUUGGCAUUAAGAGCCGAUGAAGGACGUGUGAAUCUGCGAUAAGCCUCGGGGAGCCGAUAACUGGGCGUUGAUCCGAGGAUUUCCGAAUGGGGAAACCUGGCUCAUCUUCAUGGUGAGUUACCGCCAGCUGAAUGUAUAGGCUGGUUGGGGGGAACGCGGGGAAGUGAAACAUCUCAGUACCCGCAGGAAGAGAAAAUAAAGUAAUGAUUCUGUGAGUAGUGGCGAGCGAAAGCGGAAGAGACUAAACCUGUGGUGUGUGAUAGCGGUUAGGCGUUGCAUCAUGGGGGUUGUGGGAGUCACAGUGGCAGUUCUAACUGGCU
Molecule: ribosomal RNA, 352 nt
Filed under: Clostridiales bacterium
Lineage: Bacteria; Bacillati; Bacillota; Clostridia; Eubacteriales
Description: partial 23S ribosomal RNA
Rfam family: Bacterial large subunit ribosomal RNA
Source: RNAcentral